ACAUCUAAAUUUAAUGUUUGGAUAUUAAAAAUUCACUGACCUGGGGAAGUCUGUCAAGAUGCACAGAAAUUUCCCUCUCAGUUUAGGAGGGCUGUCCUAUGAAUCAGGCUGGCUCCUAGAGAGGACGAU
Non-coding RNA from Cervus hanglu yarkandensis (Yarkand deer), 129 nucleotides. NCBI's taxonomy places the organism in Eukaryota, Metazoa, Chordata, Mammalia, Artiodactyla, Cervidae. The record is from Ensembl.